GAGUUUGAUCCUGGCUCAGAUUGAACGCUGGCGGCAUGCUUUACACAUGCAAGUCGAACGGCAGCACGGAAGAGCUUGCUCUUUUGGUGGCGAGUGGCGAACGGGUGAGUAAUACAUCGGAACGUACCGAGUAGUGGGGGAUAACUGUCCGAAAGGAUGGCUAAUACCGCAUAUUCUCUGAGGAGGAAAGCAGGGGACCUUCGGGCCUUGCGCUAUUUGAGCGGCCGAUGUCUGAUUAGCUAGUUGGUGGGGUAAAGGCCUACCAAGGCGACGAUCAGUAGCGGGUCUGAGAGGAUGAUCCGCCACACUGGGACUGAGACACGGCCCAGACUCCUACGGGAGGCAGCAGUGGGGAAUUUUGGACAAUGGGGGGAACCCUGAUCCAGCCAUGCCGCGUGUCUGAAGAAGGCCUUCGGGUUGUAAAGGACUUUUGUUCAGGGAAGAAAAGCUUGAGGUUAAUACCCUUGAGUGAUGACGUACCGAGAAA
Molecule: ribosomal RNA, 487 nt
Filed under: Neisseria animaloris
Lineage: Bacteria; Pseudomonadati; Pseudomonadota; Betaproteobacteria; Neisseriales; Neisseriaceae
Description: bacterial SSU rRNA
Rfam family: Bacterial small subunit ribosomal RNA
Source: RNAcentral